UACGGAGGGUGCGAGCGUUGUCCGGAUUUAUUGGGUUUAAAGGGUGCGUAGGUGGCCAAUUAAGUCAGUGGUGAAAUACAGCCGCUCAACGGUUGAGGUGCCAUUGAUACUGAUUGGCUUGAAAUAAUUGGAGGCUGCCGGAAUGGAUGGUGUAGCGGUGAAAUGCAUAGAUAUCAUCCAGAACACCGAUUGCGAAGGCAGGUGGCUACGAUUGAUUUGACACUGAGGCACGAAAGCAUGGGGAGCAAACAGG
RNAcentral lists this ribosomal RNA (253 nucleotides) under uncultured bacterium. RNAcentral describes it as "partial 16S ribosomal RNA". It matches the Rfam family "Bacterial small subunit ribosomal RNA", at positions 524 to 776 of the family's 1533-position model. The record is from RNAcentral.